Molecule: long non-coding RNA, 635 nt
Organism: Pan troglodytes (chimpanzee)
Lineage: Eukaryota; Metazoa; Chordata; Mammalia; Primates; Hominidae
Exons: 3
Source: RefSeq, a predicted model, not a curated record
GUGAGGCAGCAGGCCCGGCACCCUGCCCACAACCACAUAGCGGGCCCAGGCUUGUCUGACGCCUCAGGCUGUGCUCUCUCCAGCUCACUGCGGUGCCUCUCCCAGAUUCGGGCACACUCUGGUGUAACCUGCUUCGCUCGUUCGCGGGAUGGGUGGUGAGCAUGGAGCCCAUUUUCCCAUGUGGCAUUUCAGCAACAGGACUUGGCUAUUUGAAACUCCCCAGACAUAGCAGGAUUUAAAAAAACGGAUCCCCUCUGGCUGGGCAUUUAGGUUGCUUUCACUUCUGGGCUGCUAUAAACAGCCUGCAGUUACUGCCUCAGGACGCCUUUCUGGAAGAUUCUUCUGCAGCGCACACACUGCCUCCUCUGAAGUGUCCUGGCUGCAUGUGCUGCUCUCCUUGCCCUGGGCUGCCCUCUUCUCCCCGGUGUCAUGAGUACCUGCUGACCUUCUUCUUCUCCCAGGACAGAGUGCCUUCCUUCUCUUCCUUCUCUGCCUUGGCCUCCAGCACGUAGUAGGCGCCUAGGAAAUGUUUUCCAGCAGAACGAGCCAUCUCCUGGCUGGUUUAGCAGUGUGGGAUUGUGUGGUGUUUCUAUUAGUCUCCAUGAACAAGUGCCACUGUGUUAUUAAAUUUUUCC